GGGGAUGUAGCUCAGGUUGGUAGAGUGUUUUCCUCGAAUGCAAAAGGCUCUGGGUUCAAUCCCCAGCACUACAA
RNAcentral lists this transfer RNA (74 nucleotides) under Ictidomys tridecemlineatus (thirteen-lined ground squirrel). RNAcentral describes it as "Spermophilus tridecemlineatus (thirteen-lined ground squirrel) tRNA". It matches the Rfam family "tRNA". Rfam says of the family: Transfer RNA (tRNA) molecules are approximately 80 nucleotides in length. Their secondary structure includes four short double-helical elements and three loops (D, anti-codon, and T loops). The record is from Rfam by way of RNAcentral. Lineage: Eukaryota; Metazoa; Chordata; Mammalia; Rodentia; Sciuridae.